UCGCAGUCUCUUCCUUCAUCUUAAAGGCUUCUUCUGCUUGGGCAUAUCCUUCGGCCCGAGCUAGAAAAUCGGCAAAAUCCCUGGGGUACUUCUUUUCUAAGGAGAACAGAAGGUCGUUCUUCUGAAGGUCGCCUUUUAGAGCGGCCAUCACGAUCGAUUGAUCCAAGUUCUGAACCUCCAAUGCAGCGACGUUAAAAUGGUUGAC
RNAcentral lists this long non-coding RNA (205 nucleotides) under Elaeis guineensis (African oil palm). RNAcentral describes it as "long non-coding RNA (EGUI_LNC080166)". The record is from RNAcentral. Lineage: Eukaryota; Viridiplantae; Streptophyta; Magnoliopsida; Arecales; Arecaceae.